AACGAACGCUGGCGGCAUGCCUAACACAUGCAAGUCGAACGAGACCUUCGGGUCUAGUGGCGCACGGGGGCGUAACGCGUGGGAACCUGCCCUUAGGUUCGGAAUAACUCCCCGAAAGGGGUGCUAAUACCGGAUAAUGUCUUCGGACCAAAGAUUUAUCGCCCUUGGAUGGGCCCGCGUUGGAUUAGCUAGUUGGUAGGGUAAAAGCCUACCAAGGCGACGAUCCGUAGCUGGUCGCAGAGGAUGAUCAGCCACACUGGGACAGAGACACGGCCCAGACUCCUGCGGGAGGCCGCAGGGGGGAAUCGUGGACGAUGGGGGAAAGCCUGAUGGAGCCAUACCGCGUGAGGGAAGAAGGCCUUCGGGUUGUAAAGCGAGUUUGUUGGUGAAGAAAAAAAGCAGAGUAACACCCCGAUGGUCUGACGGUACCCAAAGAAUAAGCACCGGCUAACUUCGUG
Molecule: ribosomal RNA, 458 nt
Filed under: uncultured bacterium
Lineage: Bacteria
Description: partial 16S ribosomal RNA
Rfam family: Bacterial small subunit ribosomal RNA
Source: RNAcentral